Molecule: ribosomal RNA, 453 nt
Filed under: uncultured bacterium
Lineage: Bacteria
Description: bacterial SSU rRNA
Rfam family: Bacterial small subunit ribosomal RNA
Source: RNAcentral
AGCGAACGCUGGCGGCAGGCUUAACACAUGCAAGUCGAGCGCCUGUAGCAAUACAGGAGCGGCAGACGGGAGAGUAACACGUGGGAACGUACCCUUCAGUUCGGAACAACCAAGGGAAACUUUGGCUAAUACCGAAUACGUCCGUAAGGAGAAAGAUUUAUCGCUGAAGGAUCGGCCCGCGUCUGAUUAGCUAGUUGGUGGGGUAAGUGGCUCACCAAGGCGACGAUCAGUAGCUGGUCUGAGAGGAUGAUCAGCCUCAUUGGGACUGAGACACGGCCCAAACUCCUACGGGAGGCAGCAGUGGGGAAUAUUGGACAAUGGCGCAAGCCUGAUCCAGCCAUGCCGCGUGGAUGAUGAAGGCCCUAGGGUUGUAAAGUCCUUUCGACGGGGAAGAUAAUGACGGUACCCGUAGAAGAAGCCCCGGCUAACUUCGUGCCACGCCGCCGCGGUAAC